UACGUAGGGGGCAAGCGUUAUCCGGAUUUACUGGGUGUAAAGGGAGCGUAGACGGCAGAGCAAGUCUGAAGUGAAAGCCCGCGGCCCAACUGCGGGACUGCUUUGGAAACUGCCCGGCUAGAGUGCUGGAGAGGUAAGCGGAAUUCCUAGUGUAGCGGUGAAAUGCGUAGAUAUUAGGAGGAACACCAGUGGCGAAGGCGGCUUACUGGACAGUAGCUGACGUUGAGGCUCGAAAGCGUGGGGAGCAAACAGG
Molecule: ribosomal RNA, 253 nt
Filed under: uncultured bacterium
Lineage: Bacteria
Description: partial 16S ribosomal RNA
Rfam family: Bacterial small subunit ribosomal RNA
Source: RNAcentral